RNAcentral lists this ribosomal RNA (444 nucleotides) under uncultured soil bacterium. RNAcentral describes it as "bacterial SSU rRNA". It matches the Rfam family "Bacterial small subunit ribosomal RNA", at positions 950 to 1393 of the family's 1533-position model. The record is from RNAcentral.
CACGGGGGGAACGCGAAGAACCUUACCUACCCUUGACAUCUACAGAAGCCGGAAGAGAUUCUGGUGUGCCUUCGGGAACUGUAAGACAGGUGCUGCAUGGCUGUCGUCAGCUCGUGUUGUGAAAUGUUGGGUUAAGUCCCGUAACGAGCGCAACCCUUGUCCUUAUUUGCCAGCGAGUAAUGUCGGGAACUCUAAGGAGACUGCCGGUGACAAACCGGAGGAAGGUGGGGACGACGUCAAGUCAUCAUGGCCCUUACGGGUAGGGCUACACACGUGCUACAAUGGCCGGUACAAAGGGCUGCGAGCUCGCGAGAGUCAGCGAAUCCCUUAAAGCCGGUCUCAGUCCGGAUCGGAGUCUGCAACUCGACUCCGUGAAGUCGGAAUCGCUAGUAAUCGUGAAUCAGAAUGUCACGGUGAAUACGUUCCCGGGUCUUGUACACACGC